RNAcentral lists this long non-coding RNA (651 nucleotides) under Anser brachyrhynchus (Pink-footed goose). RNAcentral describes it as "lncRNA (ENSABRG00000017062.1)". Lineage: Eukaryota; Metazoa; Chordata; Aves; Anseriformes; Anatidae. The record is from RNAcentral.
AAGAAAGCCAGCCUGCCCUGCAAUCAUGACUUGCACUGACACCAAGGAGACACACUGUGCUUCUUGUUGGGUCACAAUCAAAAGACUUAAAGGAACAGUUCACAGGAGCAUGCUGUAAUAAAGGUGUUGACCUGGGGGUUGCUGUUACUGGUAAAUAUAUGGAGAGUGGUGGGCAGCUAUAUGCAUCUCAACUUUCACUUGACUAUAGAAAACGGGAAGGAGCUUUGGUACCUGUCAGAUGCUUUUGGGAGUUGUGCUUCAUCUUUAUGCUUUUGGCAAGGGAAGACUUUCAGACUUGCUCACCAAAUGUCUUGUGCAGCUCUACUCUGAGGUUUCUGGUCUAUGAACUAAAUCAUUCUCCCACUCUAUUAUGCAACACAAGUCUGUUGAACCUCCGUAUGGACUGUUUUACCAACUUGAGCUGCUUGCUGAACUUUCUUGACAUACACCUGGUAAAUAUUCUAAUUUCCAUUCUGUUGUCACUGAUUACUUUUUCGUAUUCCUGAGGAGAUGUCAUACUUGUGAAUUCAUGAAAUAUUUUAAAUAUUAUUAUAAAUGCAUCUUAAGUGUUGUCAAGGUUAAGUCAGAAAUGACACAAGUCAGAAAGUUUUCAUUAAAAGUAAAAAGUAUUUAUCUCCUGCUGCUUUGGUC